GCCUUCGUGGUGUAAUUGGAAGCAUACUAGACAUGUAUUCCAGAGGUCCAAGGUUCAAGUCCCGGAGAGGGCA
Molecule: transfer RNA, 73 nt
Filed under: Stegodyphus mimosarum
Lineage: Eukaryota; Metazoa; Arthropoda; Arachnida; Araneae; Eresidae
Rfam family: tRNA
About the family: Transfer RNA (tRNA) molecules are approximately 80 nucleotides in length. Their secondary structure includes four short double-helical elements and three loops (D, anti-codon, and T loops).
Source: Rfam by way of RNAcentral